UAGGCCUAAAAUCUGGGUCUAGGCGAAGCACCACUUUGUUUUGAUGGUACUUCAUAUUAGGAACAUCAACGCAUAGGGCAUUUAGUUCACUCACUCUCUGAGCUGAUGUUAUGGCCAAUAGAAAGGCCAUUUUCAAUGUCACAAGUUUAGGCUGAGCCGUCGCCAUAGGCACAAAGGGGGGUUCCAUUCAGGAGCCAGUCAGUGAGAAAUGGAAAGAACAUUGGUGCUCGUGACCAAAGAAGAAAACUUUCCUAACUGAAGAACUGUCUGAGCUGCCAACACAAUAGCGGUCAGAAAGGAACUGAGGUGAUAAGCACCAGCCAGCCCAAAUCAACGGAAUGCACCACAUGCAAGGGGUGGGGCUGGGUGUGUCAAGGAGCUAGUCAAUUCUGCCUGAAUGGUCCCGCACAGGCGCAGUACCCACUCUUAUGAGUGCAACGGAUCAUGAUCCAGAUCAUAUACUUCUGAACUUGUGACAGGAUAUAAGAUCAUAUACCUCUCAUUACUGCCCCUCUGUAAUUGCCAGAGGCCCAUAUUUACGUACAUAUGCUUACACAACCAAGUGUGUUGGAGUAGGAAAAACAUACUUUGGUAACUAUUCAAAGAUGCUAUUCUUUUAUAUAUAUCUGACCUUCUUGUCAUGAGGUCAGUCUCACUCUCCAACAAUGGAGAAGUUGGGAGGACAUCCCACCUUGCUGCCCAGGAUUCUUUAAAUGGAAGAUGACCAGGAUUGGGUCUCAGACCUGUAUAUGUAAUAUGGGUUCUUCUACAGAGCUACACUCCUUCCCAUUCUGGUAAUGCUUUCCACAGAUUAACGGGGGGGGGGGCAGUGAGAAUCUUUUUCUGCCCAUUUUAAUCUUGAGUGCCUUCUAGUUCUUGUGCAAUGCAAAAUAAUUAACAUUAUUACUAUUAACUUCUGAUAUAUCAGUUUCAUACCCCUUAGUGUGUUUUUUUAAUCCCACCACUGGAGGGGUUCUGUUCUUGUAUGUUCUGUUUUUUGAGUGUUGUUGCAUAGCCCUCAGGGAUAUGUAUUUGCAAGACACAGAGCACUUCUAGAGGCACGAAAAAACCAGCGAAAAUUCACUUUUCUCCCCUGUCCCCACAUACAUGCACUCUGCAGAGAGGAAGCCUCUGGUUCCAUUACCAUCAGCCUCCCAUUGUGUCCUCACUUCCAGGAUGUCAACAAGUAUAUUAGAGAGAGCAGACACUUUAUUUGGGUCUUGUUUAUUUAAAAAUAGUAGGUAGCAUCCAGACUAACGCUCCAUCAGUAGAAGCUCCUUAUGCUUGCUCUUGUAAGAGUGUAUUGAUAAAAACACUAAUCUGAAUA
Molecule: long non-coding RNA, 1327 nt
Organism: Hemicordylus capensis (graceful crag lizard)
Lineage: Eukaryota; Metazoa; Chordata; Lepidosauria; Squamata; Cordylidae
Exons: 3
Source: RefSeq, a predicted model, not a curated record